Molecule: long non-coding RNA, 1021 nt
Organism: Esox lucius (northern pike)
Lineage: Eukaryota; Metazoa; Chordata; Actinopteri; Esociformes; Esocidae
Source: Ensembl
CCACCCCCCUAAGACUGACCCCACCCCGUCAAAUACUUUCUGAACACUAACAGACACACAGUUUUAAAAAAGGUCUGAGUUUCCAUCCCCGAACCCCCUCCCCAAGAAGACCAUUCCGUACAUGUCAAAUCAAACUAAUCCAGAACAGUUACAGACUAAAAGCAGAGACAUGUACUCUGUUUGUGGGGAUGUAAACGUAUUAAUUACAAAUGAUGAAAAUAAAGCAGAUUUGGAAGGAGAAUGAGGACUAAAGGAAUGAGUGGGAGGGGGAUCAGACAGAGAGGGGGGGGGGUGAAGGACCAGAGGGUCUCAGACAGAGAGGGGAGGAUGAAGGACCAGAGGGUCUCAGACAGAGAGGGGAGGAUGAAGGACCAGAGGGCCUCAGACAGAGAGGGGAGGAUGAAGGACCAGAGGGUCUCAGACAGAGAGGGGAGGAUGAAGGACCAGAGGGUCUCAGACAGAGAGGGGAGGAUGAAGGACCAGAGGGUCUCAGACAGAGAGGGGAGGAUGAAGGACCAGAGAGUCUCAGACAGAGAGGGAGACAAAGCUGUUGUACUGCUGGAUGUUUCUCUUCAGGAUGUCUGAGCAGGGUCCCAGGACGCGUUCGAAACGCGGUCGAUCCAGCUUGACACACUUCAGGGGUCCUCUAGAGACCACGGUGGCAGCACGGGGGCGGUUCAUCAACAACGCGAUCUCACCUGUGUUAGAAAUCAGCCGUUUCGUAUAGUGGUUGUAAUAAUUAUCUACACCUACAAUGAAACGUACAUUCACAUUGUAAUUGUUAAUGCUCAGAUUCCACACCUGGAAGUGAACAGGAAGAAAACACAAGGAUACACAACAACUUCCUGUCACUUACUGACAUGUCAAACACUGACAUUUCAAAGACUGAAAGUCAAUGGGAUUGGGAGCCCCAGACACAUCUGACAGGGUUAGUAGCAGAGAUGGGGACAAGUCACACAUGGUCAAGUCCAAGCAAGUCUCAAGUCUAAACCAUCAAGUCUCGAGUCAAGUCUCAAGUCAC